Molecule: long non-coding RNA, 1889 nt
Organism: Anguilla rostrata (American eel)
Lineage: Eukaryota; Metazoa; Chordata; Actinopteri; Anguilliformes; Anguillidae
Exons: 4
Source: RefSeq, a predicted model, not a curated record
CUUAUUGUCUGAUUUUCAGUCCCCUGUCAUUUAAUUAAUUAUCCUAAUGUUCUUCACCUGGAUGUUUGUUACUCUGCCCUCACUCACGUAACCCCUCCUUGAUUGUUACCUUCCCCAGUGUAUAAAUGUCAGUCUUUUCCACCAGCUCCCUCUCAGAACGUUGAUCAUAUUCACUACCGAUGUUUUGUAAGCCUUUGUUUAUUGAGAUUCCUGAGACCCCCUUUCCGUACGACCUCGAGUUUGCCUGUCCCUUUUGUUUGAUUGCUUUCUGGUUUGACCUUCGCUUUGUUUUGACUUCUCUUCUGCCUGUUCCUUUGUACCUUCGCCUAUCUGAUCUCCUGGUUUUUUAUUUUUUGCCUGUUUACCACUAUUCUUUUGGAAACUCGAUUUUGUACCGUCCUAUCUCUGAUUACCUGGCUUUGAACUUUGGACUGAAUAAAGACAACGUUUUUUGGAUUUCCCUGGUCUCCGUUUGGGUCCUUACACAGAACAUAACCGAUCCUCCUGGGAGACUUCAACAUCCACCUUGAUGCCUCCCACUCCGCAGCCUUCCUGCCCCUACUCCACUCAUUCGAUCUCUCCCUGAUGCACUCCCCACCAACACGCAAAGCUGGCAACCUCCUAGACCUGGUCAUCCUGAGGAAUUGCUGCUCCUCCGAUCCCGCAGUGACCCCUCUGCACCAGUCCGACCACCACUUCAUUUCCUUCUCCCUCCCUCUUGCUCCCCUCCCUCCCUCCCCUCCAUCCACUCCUACUGUCAUGGUCCACCGUAACCUCCACUCCCUCUCUCCCUCCUCUCUCGCUUCUAGUGUCACUGCUUCACUCCCCACUCUUGAAUCUUUGUCCAACCUUCCCACUGACUCUGCAUCCUCCGCUCUGUCUUCCUCGCUUUCCUCAGCACUUGACUCUCUGUCCUCUAGUCUCCAGGCUGGCACGCUCGUCCCCUCCCAGUCCAUGGAUGUCUGACCCCCUCCGAACCAACCGUGCCAGCCUGAAUACGAAGACGUUUACUCCCCUGGUGUCCGAAUCUGCCCUUCCGAGAAGCGUCUUUCACAACUACACCGCCCGGGAUGUGUCUGCAGAAAACUGUGACUGCCUUAAUGGCGGCUGGUGCAGGGAGGGGGGAGACUGUGACUGCUCCCAGUUUCAGGGCCUGGGAGAGCGCUGUCAGAUCAGAUUGUAUAUUUAUUCCAUAUUGUGGCAUCAUGAGAGGGCGUGUCAUUGAUGGGAGGUACGUCCCCUCAAAAUGGCUGCAACGCACUACAAAACAGAUGGCUGUCGCACAAGAAGACUACAACAACCGGGUCGCCGCCGACUAAAGCCGGCUGCGGCUAAUCGACUUGGUGGCGGGUUUAUUUAAGGAGGCCUUCUCUGAAGGGAGGGGGUUAGACGUGAAGUGAUUGUGUGCUUGUCUAAGUGAAGCUUUGUAAACUAUUACUUUGGUGGUCGUGAAACUUUCUGUUACCUUUUAAGACUGCAUUGUUAAAACUUUUUGGUUGAUUAUUAAAAAGCCCACCACAUUUUGGAAAACUGCGUGGACCUGCUUUUGUUUGAGCGCCCCCACACGCUGAUGAAGAUUCCCAGCCUCAUGAUGCCACAAUAUUUAACCACAAAUAUUCAGUGAGUAGCAUUUUCAUUGUUAUCGGCAUACCUUUAGGCUAUUGUUCGCUUUCUUGUUGCUUUGAUGGAAUUUGAAUUUUAGGCAGUGAAAAAAUAUAUUUUUUGCACUCCCAGAUAGAUGCUAUUGUCCAGUGUGUCAUGCCUGGGGAGUAUUGUUGCAGAUGAGACUGCAGGGAGGAGGUGCUUAUGAAAUGGACAAUUGUGGCACUUUGAAACUCUGUAUUUUGCAUCAGUGUCUUGUAUUGUAUCCUAAAGGCUGAAAUCCUGAA